AGUGAACGCUGGCGGUAGGCCUAACACAUGCAAGUCGAACGGCAGCACAGUAAGAGCCUGCUCUUACGGGUGGCGAGUGGCGGACGGGUGAGGAAUACAUCGGAAUCUACUUUUUCGUGGGGGAUAACGUAGGGAAACUUACGCUAAUACCGCAUACGACCUACGGGUGAAAGCAGGGGAUCUUCGGACCUUGCGUGAUUGAAUGAGCCGAUGUCGGAUUAGCUAGUUGGCGGGGUAAAGGCCCACCAAGGCGACGAUCCGUAGCUGGUCUGAGAGGAUGAUCAGCCACACUGGAACUGAGACACGGUCCAGACUCCUACGGGAGGCAGCAGUGGGGAAUAUUGGACAAUGGGCGCAAGCCUGAUCCAGCCAUACCGCGUGGGUGAAGAAGGCCUUCGGGUUGUAAAGCCCUUUUGUUGGGAAAGAAAAGCAGCAGGUUAAUACCCCGCUGUUCUGACGGUACCCAAAGAAUAAGCACCGGCUAACUUCGUG
This 492-nucleotide ribosomal RNA is filed under the name uncultured bacterium. Its description in RNAcentral is "partial 16S ribosomal RNA". It matches the Rfam family "Bacterial small subunit ribosomal RNA", at positions 29 to 507 of the family's 1533-position model. The record is from RNAcentral.